CAGUCGUACGCUUCUUUUUCCACCGGAGCUUGCUCCACCGGAAAAAGAGGAGUGGCGAACGGGUGAGUAACACGUGGGUAACCUGCCCAUCAGAAGGGGAUAACACUUGGAAACAGGUGCUAAUACCGUAUAACAAUCGAAACCGCAUGGUUUUGAUUUGAAAGGCGCUUUCGGGUGUCACUGAUGGAUGGACCCGCGGUGCAUUAGCUAGUUGGUGAGGUAACGGCUCACCAAGGCCACGAUGCAUAGCCGACCUGAGAGGGUGAUCGGCCACAUUGGGACUGAGACACGGCCCAAACUCCUACGGGAGGCAGCAGUAGGGAAUCUUCGGCAAUGGACGAAAGUCUGACCGAGCAACGCCGCGUGAGUGAAGAAGGUUUUCGGAUCGUAAAACUCUGUUGUUAGAGAAGAACAAGGAUGUGAGUAACUGUUCAUCCCUUGACGGUAUCUAACCAGAAAGCCACGGCUAACUACGUGCCAGCAGCCGCGGUAAUACGUAGGUGGCAAGCGUUGUCCGGAUUUAUUGGGCGUAAAGCGAGCGCAGGCGGUUUCUUAAGUCUGAUGUGAAAGCCCCCGGCUCAACCGGGGAGGGUCAUUGGAAACUGGGAGACUUGAGUGCAGAAGAGGGGAGUGGAAUUCCAUGUGUAGCGGUGAAAUGCGUAGAUAUAUGGAGGAACACCAGUGGCGAAGGCGGCUCUCUGGUCUGUAACUGACGCUGAGGCUCGAAAGCGUGGGGA
RNAcentral lists this ribosomal RNA (737 nucleotides) under uncultured bacterium. RNAcentral's name for it is "bacterial SSU rRNA". It matches the Rfam family "Bacterial small subunit ribosomal RNA", at positions 59 to 767 of the family's 1533-position model. The record is from RNAcentral.